CCUACGGGAGGCAGCAGUGGGGAAUAUUGCGCAAUGGGCGAAAGCCUGACCCAGCAACGCCGCGUGAAGGAAGAAGGCUUUCUGGUUUUAAACUUCUUUUCUCAGGGACGAAGAAAGUGACGGUACCUGAGGAAUAAGCCACGGCUAACUACGUGCCAGCAGCCGCGGUAAUACGUGGGUGGCACGCGUUAUCCGGAUUUACUGGGUGUAAAGGGCGUGUAGGCGGGAAAGCAAGUCAGAUGUGAAAACCAUGGGCUGAACCUGUGGCCUGCAUUUGAAACUGUUUUUCUUGAGUACUGGAGAGGCAGACGGAAUUCCUAGUGUAGCGGUGAAAUGCGUAGAUAUUAGGAGGAACACCAGUGGCGAAGGCGGUCUGCUGGACAGCAACUGACGCUGAGGCGCGAAAGCGUGGGGAGCAAACAGGAUUAGAUACCCGAGUAGUC
Molecule: ribosomal RNA, 443 nt
Filed under: uncultured bacterium
Lineage: Bacteria
Description: partial 16S ribosomal RNA
Rfam family: Bacterial small subunit ribosomal RNA
Source: RNAcentral